This 1377-nucleotide small RNA is filed under the name Rattus norvegicus (Norway rat). RNAcentral's name for it is "uncharacterized LOC102554214". The record is from RNAcentral. Lineage: Eukaryota; Metazoa; Chordata; Mammalia; Rodentia; Muridae.
GUCCACAUACAUGCUAUGGCAUGUGCACUCAGGCAUGAACAUGCAUACGACAUGAGGCGGUGCACAAGCAUGUGCACACACAUUUAUGGGGGGAGGGGGAGGCAGUGAAUGAAUAUAUUUCUUUAUGAUUGAUGAUGGGCCUGUGUUUGACUUCUAUGCCUAUUUUAUGCACCUGUAAGCCCAGCGACACAAAAAUACCUUGUUUAAAUGACAUAAAUGUGUAGAGGGUGGAAACAUGUUCAAAAAGUCUUGGUUUAAGGCUCAGGGAACAUCCCUGAAGAGGAGGGUUGUCCCCAGAGAUCAGAGAGGACCCAAGUGAAACAGCAUCUUCUGCAUAUAACAGUAUGGCCACAGUCAUGAAUCCAUACAAGACCACACAGGAGCAAGCCAAUCAACAAUGUAGCACGGAUGGGAGGGGUCAUGAGCCCCCUAGCUGAGCAGCUAUUCACAGGGGUCUUCUGGGAAAUCGAGAGUCACCUUUCAACAGCGUGGCCCUGGUAAGUACUCCAAGCCUCAGUGGAUGCCUUCAUACCCUGAGGAUAUAUGAGCAGCACAAAUCCAACAGAGUAGGUUAAUUAAAAACAACAAAACACAGGACAUGAAGCUAUGAGGGGAGGUGGAGCUGGGAGGAGUUAGGAAGGAGUUGGGGGAGAAAUCACAAAAUUCAUAAAAAUAUUAUUUUUUAAAGAAGUCUUGGUUUAGACAAAGCAGCUCUUUUCCUAAGGCUGGAAGUGUGAUUUUUUUUUCUCGGCCAGCAGCAACCUGCAAUGUUCCACUCAGCGUAUUUCCUGUUGAUGUCUUUGACAUCACACUAGCCAUUGCUGUCCUGCACCACAUCAGCAUCCUCCUCAGAGAGCCAACACUGAGCACAGAAAGGACCCUGAUCUUUGUGGCUGCUGUCCUUACUACCACCUCCUCAGGACAGAAGCCAGAAUUAGAGCAGCCGCAGCAGCAGAGGAAUUCAACAGGGAGGGAGCUGCUGUGUCCCGCGGCCUCCAUCAGCUAGACACCACCCUACUCAAGACAGAGGCAUAGCGCUGAUGAACCAGAGAAUUGUCACGUAAGGGACAAGAUCCAGUGUACUCUCCGACAUGGAGGAAGAGCGUCUCUGGCCCUCCUGCCUGCUCCUGAGACUCUUCUUCCUUCUGGGUCGCCCUGUCAGCCUCGACAGGAGGGGCUUUGUCUUGUCUGACUGUAUGCAGUUUUGUCCUUUUGGUUAUUGUCUUUUGGAGGUCUGCUCUUCUGUGGAGAGAAACAGAAGGAGUGGAUCUGGGCAGAGGUGUGGGGGAGCUGGGAGGAGUGGAGGGAGAGGAAACUGUGGUCAGGGUGUGUUGUUGUAUGAGAGAAGAAUCUAUUUUCAAUAAAUAAUAACAAGUA